RNAcentral lists this ribosomal RNA (496 nucleotides) under Burkholderia sp. Hu45A. RNAcentral describes it as "bacterial SSU rRNA". It matches the Rfam family "Bacterial small subunit ribosomal RNA", at positions 35 to 525 of the family's 1533-position model. The record is from RNAcentral. Lineage: Bacteria; Pseudomonadati; Pseudomonadota; Betaproteobacteria; Burkholderiales; Burkholderiaceae.
GCUUGCGGCUGAAUUAACAUGCAUGUCGCACGGCAGCACGGGUGCUUGCACCUGGUGGCGAGUGGCGAACGGGUGAGUAAUACAUCGGAACAUGUCCUGUAGUGGGGGAUAGCCCGGCGAAAGCCGGAUUAAUACCGCAUACGAUCUACGGAUGAAAGCGGGGGACCUUCGGGCCUCGCGCUAUAGGGUUGGCCGAUGGCUGAUUAGCUAGUUGGUGGGGUAAAGGCCUACCAAGGCGACGAUCAGUAGCUGGUCUGAGAGGACGACCAGCCACACUGGGACUGAGACACGGCCCAGACUCCUACGGGAGGCAGCAGUGGGGAAUUUUGGACAAUGGGCGAAAGCCUGAUCCAGCAAUGCCGCGUGUGUGAAGAAGGCCUUCGGGUUGUAAAGCACUUUUGUCCGGAAAGAAAUCCUUGGCUCUAAUACAGUCGGGGGAUGACGGUACCGGAAGAAUAAGCACCGGCUAACUACGUGCCAGCAGCGGGCGGUAAUA